This 1456-nucleotide ribosomal RNA is filed under the name bacterium. RNAcentral's name for it is "bacterial SSU rRNA". It matches the Rfam family "Bacterial small subunit ribosomal RNA". The record is from RNAcentral.
GGGGGGGGUGCUAUACUGCAGUCGAACGCUUCUUUUCCCACCGGAGCUUGCUCCACCGGGAAAAGAGGAGUGGCGAACGGGUGAGUAACACGUGGGUAACCUGCCCAUCAGAAGGGGAUAACACUUGGAAACAGGUGCUAAUACCGUAUAACAAUCGAAACCGCAUGGUUUCGAUUUGAAAGGCGCUUUACGGUGCCGCUGAUGGAUGGACCCGCGGUGCAUUAGCUAGUUGGUGAGGUAACGGCUCACCAAGGCCACGAUGCAUAGCCGACCUGAGAGGGUGAUCGGCCACAUUGGGACUGAGACACGGCCCAAACUCCUACGGGAGGCAGCAGUAGGGAAUCUUCGGCAAUGGACGAAAGUCUGACCGAGCAACGCCGCGUGAGUGAAGAAGGUUUUCGGAUCGUAAAACUCUGUUGUUAGAGAAGAACAAGGGUGAGAGUAACUGUUCACCCCUUGACGGUAUCUAACCAGAAAGCCACGGCUAACUACGUGCCAGCAGCCGCGGUAAUACGUAGGUGGCAAGCGUUGUCCGGAUUUAUUGGGCGUAAAGCGAGCGCAGGCGGUUUCUUAAGUCUGAUGUGAAAGCCCCCGGCUCAACCGGGGAGGGUCAUUGGAAACUGGGAGACUUGAGUGCAGAAGAGGAGAGUGGAAUUCCAUGUGUAGCGGUGAAAUGCGUAGAUAUAUGGAGGAACACCAGUGGCGAAGGCGGCUCUCUGGUCUGUAACUGACGCUGAGGCUCGAAAGCGUGGGGAGCAAACAGGAUUAGAUACCCUGGUAGUCCACGCCGUAAACGAUGAGUGCUAAGUGUUGGAGGGUUUCCGCCCUUCAGUGCUGCAGCUAACGCAUUAAGCACUCCGCCUGGGGAGUACGACCGCAAGGUUGAAACUCAAAGGAAUUGACGGGGGCCCGCACAAGCGGUGGAGCAUGUGGUUUAAUUCGAAGCAACGCGAAGAACCUUACCAGGUCUUGACAUCCUUUGACCACUCUAGAGAUAGAGCUUCCCCUUCGGGGGCAAAGUGACAGGUGGUGCAUGGUUGUCGUCAGCUCGUGUCGUGAGAUGUUGGGUUAAGUCCCGCAACGAGCGCAACCCUUAUUGUUAGUUGCCAUCAUUUAGUUGGGCACUCUAGCAAGACUGCCGGUGACAAACCGGAGGAAGGUGGGGAUGACGUCAAAUCAUCAUGCCCCUUAUGACCUGGGCUACACACGUGCUACAAUGGGAAGUACAACGAGUCGCGAAGUCGCGAGGCUAAGCUAAUCUCUUAAAGCUUCUCUCAGUUCGGAUUGUAGGCUGCAACUCGCCUACAUGAAGCCGGAAUCGCUAGUAAUCGCGGAUCAGCACGCCGCGGUGAAUACGUUCCCGGGCCUUGUACACACCGCCCGUCACACCACGAGAGUUUGUAACACCCGAAGUCGGUGAGGUAACCUUUUUGGAGCCAGCCGCCUAAGCUAAUGU